AACAAGGCGAGGACAGAAGAGUGGCCAUUCUCUUCACAGGCCCGCAUGAAUAGCUGGCACUGUUCAGUGCUCUUAAAUGGCUCUCCUCAGUGUCAGGUUUAGGGAUCUCUCUUCAGUGUGACACUGAGAAGGAGUAUUUUCCUUUUGCAGACCUAGAGAUUCCAGCUGAUAAUAUGGCAUUGUCAGAGCUCAUCCCUGCUCUUUGAAUAACUCCAGUGUCCUGGAGGAGUCAGAUGCAGUGCAGAGCGGGCCAUCACUUCUUAAGGCACGGUCAGAAGGAACAGGAAGGCCGUCUGAGCCUUUUCUCGCACACGUUCACACUUAUCCAAUCACUCAUUUGUUCACAUAUGAACUGUGUGACUCAGUCUUUCUCAGAGAAGACGAUCGUUUGGGUUUUGGCUCUGGCUGAAGAGCAGGUAUGAACAUGUGAAAAAGGAAAUGCAACACCUUCUGACAUAAGCUUUAUUACAGCUCCUUUUCAAAUCCACAAUGGCAUGAGUUAAUUAUCAUAGCAGACAUAAUUAAGGUGGGUGUGAUUGUUUAUUUAGCUAUUAUUGUGUUUGAUUAUGUGACAAUUAGAUGGAACUUGUUCCUGUACACUAUUGUUCAAAUGUAUCACAUAGUUUCUGUUAGAUUUCCUGAGUUAUACUGUUAAACAUAAUGAGUUAAUACUGGAAUGUCUUUCAGAAUCUAGUAUUUGUUUCUUUGAUUACGCUGGUACUGUAGCUAAUCCCAUGUUUCUGAAAUUAAACUUGCAGGAACGACGGUCAUUAUUUAUAUAAACAACAGUAGGGGCAUUAUUUUCCACCAACCAUUUAUAUUUUUACAAGGGUUUUACACCAGUUUAAAUAUUCUUUUAUACCAAGACUACUAACUAAAAAGCAGUGGUGACAAAUAAGCUGAAAAACAGUAGUAACUAAUAGUAACAAGUAACUAAUUACUAGUAACUAAUAGUAAUUUAAUGUUAUAUGCUGUCAUAGUAUCCUUUCAAUGAAAAGAAGAGUGAUUACUUAAAUUAGUGAAUCAUUUUCAAACUCAGUUUCGCUAAA
Cyprinus carpio carpio is the source of this 1049-nucleotide long non-coding RNA. Lineage: Eukaryota; Metazoa; Chordata; Actinopteri; Cypriniformes; Cyprinidae. The record is from Ensembl.